CAUGCAAGUCGAACGAUGAAGCCCUUCGGGGUGGAUUAGUGGCGAACGGGUGAGUAACACGUGGGCAAUCUGCCCUUCACUCUGGGACAAGCCCUGGAAACGGGGUCUAAUACCGGAUAACACUCCUGCCUGCAUGGGUGGGGGUUAAAAGCUCCGGCGGUGAAGGAUGAGCCCGCGGCCUAUCAGCUUGUUGGUGAGGUAGUGGCUCACCAAGGCGACGACGGGUAGCCGGCCUGAGAGGGCGACCGGCCACACUGGGACUGAGACACGGCCCAGACUCCUACGGGAGGCAGCAGUGGGGAAUAUUGCACAAUGGGCGAAAGCCUGAUGCAGCGACGCCGCGUGAGGGAUGACGGCCUUCGGGUUGUAAACCUCUUUCAGCAGGGAAGAAGCGAAAGUGACGGUACCUGCAGAAGAAGCGCCGGCUAACUACGUGCCAGCAGCCGCGGUAAUACGUAGGGCGCAAGCGUUGUCCGGAAUUAUUGGGCGUAAAGAGCUCGUAGGCGGCUUGUCACGUCGGUUGUGAAAGCCCGGGGCUUAACCCCGGGUCUGCAGUCGAUACGGGCAGGCUAGAGUGUGGUAGGGGAGAUCGGAAUUCCUGGUGUAGCGGUGAAAUGCGCAGAUAUCAGGAGGAACACCGGUGGCGAAGGCGGAUCUCUGGGCCAUUACUGACGCUGAGGAGCGAAAGCGUGGGGAGCGAACAGGAUUAGAUACCCUGGUAGUCCACGCCG
RNAcentral lists this ribosomal RNA (731 nucleotides) under Streptomyces sp. YIM 56382. RNAcentral's name for it is "bacterial SSU rRNA". It matches the Rfam family "Bacterial small subunit ribosomal RNA", at positions 54 to 802 of the family's 1533-position model. Lineage: Bacteria; Bacillati; Actinomycetota; Actinomycetes; Kitasatosporales; Streptomycetaceae. The record is from RNAcentral.